UAGUCCACGCCGUAAACGAUGGUUACUAGCUGUUCGGACUUCGGUCUGAGUGGCUAAGCGAAAGUGAUAAGUAACCCACCUGGGGAGUACGUUCGCAAGAAUGAAACUCAAAGGAAUUGACGGGGGCCCGCACAAGCGGUGGAGCAUGUGGUUUAAUUCGAUGAUACGCGAGGAACCUUACCAGGGCUUAAAUGUAAAGUGACAGGACUAGAGAUAGUUUUUCUCGGACACUUUACAAGGUGCUGCAUGGUUGUCGUCAGCUCGUGCCGUGAGGUGUCAGGUUAAGUCCUAUAACGAGCGCAACCCCUGUUGUUAGUUGCCAGCAUGUAAAGAUGGGAACUCUAACAAGACUGCCGGUGCAAACCGGGAGGAAGGUGGGGAUGACGUCAAAUCAUCACGGCCCUUACGUCCUGGGGCUACACACGUGCUACAAUGGGUAGGGGACAGGAGAGCAGCCACUGCGCGAGCAGGGAGCGAAUCU
Molecule: ribosomal RNA, 481 nt
Filed under: uncultured bacterium
Lineage: Bacteria
Description: bacterial SSU rRNA
Rfam family: Bacterial small subunit ribosomal RNA
Source: RNAcentral